RNAcentral lists this long non-coding RNA (2917 nucleotides) under Anas platyrhynchos platyrhynchos (common mallard). RNAcentral describes it as "lncRNA (ENSAPLG00000020724.1)". Lineage: Eukaryota; Metazoa; Chordata; Aves; Anseriformes; Anatidae. The record is from RNAcentral.
UAUUUUUGUAAGUGAUUAUUCAACAACAGUGUAAGUAAUUACCUUAGAUGUAUAUCAUUAUAUAGUAUAUCAAGUAUAUAUCAUACUUCUUGCAUUCCAGAAAUAAGUGUAUUGGUGACUGGAGUAUGCCCUCUUUAGUUAUGUAUGUAAUUCCACAUAAAACCAAUGGACACUUGGUUGGCUGAAGGUUGACUCAAACUUGAGUGAUAAUUUCAAGACCGUAUCUGCAGCUGUUUGGGUACUUAGAAACCAUCUGAUGUUGCUGUGUCCAAAGCACAACCAUUCUGGCUAAUUAGCUUGGCAGAAAUCUCUUCUCAAUGAAGUUUCAGUACAGCUUGUCUUACUUUCAAGAAAGCCUGAUACAAUUUCACCAGCAGUCUCCAUAGCACAUUUUAAGAGUUUAAUUUUUUACCUUACAAUGCCUCUCUCAGACAUCAAAGAGUACCUGACCCAUUGAAUUUGACUAUUUUACAGAAGUUCAUCUCAGAAAAAUGAUACAAGAUGGAAACAGCAGUCAAACAUUUCUUGGUGGAAUACCUCAAACACCAUCAGACCACAUACUAUAUGAAAAGCAGCUGAAUGGGAAUUUGGAGCACAGUGUCCUCUCCUAUGCAAUACAGCAUUCUUGCCAAUCUGAGAUAAACCUUUCCCUCGCUCUCCUGCCCUCCUCUGCUCCAUGAACUGAGCUCAUGUCUGCUGUGGCACUUUGGUGGAGCAAUGAAGGAACAUGUUAUGAGGUGAGUUGCUGGUAUCCUCAUUCCUCAAGUGCAGAGGAAUUUUUAAUGCAUUGAAGUUUCACAAGUUUGCUCAUCUGCCAUUCCUUGCUUAGCAAUAGUCAGAUUUGAAAUGUGGGAAAAUCCACUUGUAAAAUGAACACAAACUCCAUAUUGAAUUGAGAAAAUAGAAAUUUUCAAAAUAGGUAGUGUAGCUGAUGAGAGUCAAGGUGCAAAAAUGCCCAUACUGCUAAAAAAAUAGCUGUAGACAUAGCUAUUGUCAGAUUUGAUGUAUCCUGUCAGAAAGACCUACACACAAGAUAGAUGACUAAAGGUAAAGUACUCUGAAGUUGUAUGUCUUUUUUUUUUUUUUUUUUUUUUUUAAAUCCAUGUUCCUCCUUCAUGUGCUGAUUCUGCAGUAAACAAAACAAUAAGGGUAUCCAGGCUGGUUACAUAAAGCCAAGUUCUUUUCAUCUCAAAAAAUAUGGUUCCACAAAUGGACACAAAUGGUUGACUACUGCUGCAAAUAUUGUACUAAGGAGAUAUACCUCAUGGUCUGUUUACUGGAAACCUGUUUCAAAGGUUAAGAUGUUCACUGUUCCAUGUCAGUAGUUAGUUGAAACAUUUUGAAUAGUGAGAAGAACUAUUUGGUUUAGUUGAACUAUGCUCAAUUUUGGUUCAAGAAAAUAUCCAACUAAACUUCAAAAUGGAGGUUUUAAACAUGGACUUAGAAAAAAUUGACAUAUUGCUUUCUUAGUCUGCAGGAGAUUGGUUCAGCACAUUUCCUCUGCGAUAUGCUACACUUUUUUCUUUCCGGAUUUGUCUCUUGGACUUAAUAUCUGAGUUUCAGCUAACUUCUCAUUGUAUUAUUUCACUUUUUUUCACUUUUUCUUUCUUUUUUUUUUUUUUAAUCUUCUUUUGUCUCUUCAAAUUUUCAUAAAAUCAUAGAAUAUCCCGAGUUGGAAGGGACCCAUAAGGAUCAUUGAGUCCAACUCCUGGCACCACACGUCUACCCAGAAAUUCAGCCCAAAAUUUGGAUGUCUCUAGUUCCCUUUAUAUUCAGCCACUCUCAUAAGUAUUUGCAGUAUCUAUCCAUAUGUUUCAAGUGAAUUUCUUUAAGAUUUUUAUUUGUUCUGUACCCUCAAACACUAAAGUUAACUUGUCAUAUUCCCAAUGCAUGUGUUUGCCCCCUCCAUUAACUCUCUACAUGUCAAGGUCCAUAGUGAAAAGGUUUUAUGUCAGUGAUCUUACACAGGGUGGAUAAAAAUUAAUUUUCAGACAUUACUUAAACGACAAAAAAACUAAAUAGUUUUCAUAGACCCUUCCAGCUUUCCUACCACUUUCCUAAAACAAGAAAGAAAAGAAUCAUAUUUGCAUGGAGACAUUUUUUAUUUUUUUAUUUUUUUAUAAAACUUUCUGAGUGCACCAGUGAUACAUUUCUGUGCUUGUCCUUUGGCCAUCACAAAAAUGAAAACUAUGUCUAUGUUUUUAUUAAUUCUUAUUUAGAUUUUGAAUCAAACUAAUAUUCUCCCACUCUCAGCAUAUAUACAUGUUUGUUUGUCUUAAUUCAUGAGACCACACAGACUCACUUGUCUUGGGAGGGCCAGCUGCCCUGGUGUUCUUGUGGCUGGUAAUGGUCAAUAGCAGAUGUCUUGGCCAGAGCAUGAGGGCAAGUCCAAAAUGCAAUGCUGCUUUCCCAUCAUACCCUCUCAGCCACCAGCAAGUGACUCUUCAGAGUCUUUUUCAGACAGGGAGCUGUCUUCAUACUGAAAAGUUGUGGUAAGAUUCUUCUUUCACAGUUUUGUACAGUAGCUUGAUCAGCCCAUGAAUUCACAAACUCCUGCACCAAGGGAUUUCAAAAACCUAGGUACAUACUGAGUGUAUAUGAGUGAUAUUCUAGUCCAGUUAAUCUUGGAUGAAAGUAUACCAAAGCACUGAUUUAAAGUAAACUGGUAAGUCUUUUCCUUUAAUUUCUUAGCUGUUUCUUGGCCUGUUCUGCCUUAAAAUAACUUUGCUUUAUACCCACUCCAAAGAGGUGAAAGCCCUGAGGAGAACCAGGCCACGAAAAGCAGUUCAGUCAGUUUAUAAAGUUGAGAUUGACCAGGAUUGGAGUUUAAAAAAAAAAAUGUAAGCCCAAAAGACUCUACUCUUGCUCUGUAAUGUAGUCAAAUAAAUAUAUCUGGGAACAGUAGAUUAAGAUAUGA